ACGAACGCUGGCGGCAUGCCUAACACAUGCAAGUCGAACGAGACCUUCGGGUCUAGUGGCGCACGGGUGCGUAACGCGUGGGAAUCUGCCCUUGGGUUCGGGAUAACAGUUGGAAACGACUGCUAAUACCGGAUGAUGACUUCGGUCCAAAGAUUUAUCGCCCAGGGAUGAGCCCGCGUCGGAUUAGCUAGUUGGUGAGGUAAGAGCUCACCAAGGCGACGAUCCGUAGCUGGUCUGAGAGGAUGAUCAGCCACACUGGGACUGAGACACGGCCCAGACUCCUACGGGAGGCAGCAGUGGGGAAUAUUGGACAAUGGGCGAAAGCCUGAUCCAGCAAUGCCGCGUGAGUGAUGAAGGCCUUAGGGUUGUAAAGCUCUUUUACCCGGGAUGAUAAUGACAGUACCGGGAGAAUAAGCCCCGGCUAACUCCGUG
RNAcentral lists this ribosomal RNA (432 nucleotides) under uncultured bacterium. RNAcentral's name for it is "partial 16S ribosomal RNA". It matches the Rfam family "Bacterial small subunit ribosomal RNA", at positions 29 to 507 of the family's 1533-position model. The record is from RNAcentral.